This 456-nucleotide ribosomal RNA is filed under the name Holothuria coluber. RNAcentral's name for it is "partial 16S ribosomal RNA". It matches the Rfam family "Bacterial large subunit ribosomal RNA", at positions 1921 to 2597 of the family's 2925-position model. The record is from RNAcentral. Lineage: Eukaryota; Metazoa; Echinodermata; Holothuroidea; Aspidochirotida; Holothuriidae.
AGCUAAACGGCCGCGGUAUCUUGACCGUGCAAAGGUAGCAUAAUCAUUUGUCUUUUAAAUGGAGACUUGUAUGAACGGCAAAACCUUCUUUAACUGUCUCCCCCUUUGACCUUAUAAAUUUACCUCUGCGUGAAGAGGCGCAGAUAAAACAGAAAGACGAGAAGACCCUGUCGAGCUUCAGUCAUCAGAUGAACUUUCCACAGCAUCACCUCAAAGACUUUGGUUGGGGCAACCCUGGAGAAAAAAAAUCCUCCAGAAAAAUAGAAGAAACCCACUCCCUAUUUCACCACUUAAGAACCAGAACCUGGCAUAAGGAAAAAGUUACCGCAGGGAUAACAGCGUCAUCCUCUCUAAGAGUCCUUAUUGACGAGAGGGCUUGCGACCACGAUGUUGGAUUGGGGGCCCCCUAGGGUGCAGAAGCCCUAAAAGGUUAGACUGUUCGUCUAUUAAAGCCCU